UACGUAGGUGACAAGCGUUGUCCGGAUUUACUGGGCGUAAAGAGCGCGCAGGCGGUCGUUCAAGUCGAGUGUGAAAGCCCCCGGCUCAACUGGGGAGGGUCAUUCGAUACUGAUCGACUCGAAGGCAGGAGAGGGAAGUGGAAUUCCCGGUGUAGUGGUGAAAUGCGUAGAUAUCGGGAGGAACACCGGUGGCGAAGGCGGCUCUCUGGACCGGUACUGACGCUGAGGCACGAAAGCCAGGGGAGCAAACGGG
Molecule: ribosomal RNA, 253 nt
Filed under: uncultured bacterium
Lineage: Bacteria
Description: partial 16S ribosomal RNA
Rfam family: Bacterial small subunit ribosomal RNA
Source: RNAcentral